RNAcentral lists this ribosomal RNA (500 nucleotides) under uncultured bacterium. RNAcentral's name for it is "partial 16S ribosomal RNA". It matches the Rfam family "Bacterial small subunit ribosomal RNA", at positions 30 to 523 of the family's 1533-position model. The record is from RNAcentral.
AUUGAACGCUGGCGGCAUGCCUUACACAUGCAAGUCGAACGGCAGCACAGGCUUCGGUCUGGUGGCGAGUGGCGAACGGGUGAGUAAAGCAUCGGAACGUACCCGGAAGUGGGGGAUAACGUAGCGAAAGUUACGCUAAUACCGCAUAUUCUGUGAGCAGGAAAGAGGGGGAUCUUCGGACCUCUUGCUUUCGGAGCGGCCGAUGUCAGAUUAGCUAGUUGGUGGGGUAAAGGCCUACCAAGGCGACGAUCUGUAGCGGGUCUGAGAGGAUGAUCCGCCACACUGGGACUGAGACACGGCCCAGACUCCUACGGAAGGCAGCAGUGGGGAAUUUUGGACAAUGGGCGCAAGCCUGAUCCAGCCAUGCCGCGUGAGUGAAGAAGGCCUUCGGGUUGUAAAGCUCUUUCGGCCGGGAAGAAAUCGCACCAGUUAAUACCUGGUGUGGAUGACGGUACCGGAAUAAGAAGCACCGGCUAACUACGUGCCAGCAGCCGCCGUAA